AGUGAACGCUGCCGGUAGGCCUAACACAUGCAAGUCGAACGGCAGCACAGUAAGAGCUUGCUCUUACGGGUGGCGAGUGGCGGACGGGUGAGGAAUACAUCGGAAUCUACUUUUUCGUGGGGGAUAACGUAGGGAAACUUACGCUAAUACCGCAUACGACCUACGGGUGAAAGCAGGGGAUCUUCGGACCUUGCGCGAUUGAAUGAGCCGAUGUCGGAUUAGCUAGUUGGCGGGGUAAAGGCCCACCAAGGCGACGAUCCGUAGCUGGUCUGAGAGGAUGAUCAGCCACACUGGAACUGAGACACGGUCCAGACUCCUACGGGAGGCAGCAGUGGGGAAUAUUGGACAAUGGGCGCAAGCCUGAUCCAGCCAUGCCGCGUGGGUGAAGAAGGCCUUCGGGUUGUAAAGCCCUUUUGUUGGGAAAGAAAAGCAGCAGGUUAAUACCCCGCUGUUCUGACGGUACCCAAAGAAUAAGCACCGGCUAACUUCGUG
Molecule: ribosomal RNA, 492 nt
Filed under: uncultured bacterium
Lineage: Bacteria
Description: partial 16S ribosomal RNA
Rfam family: Bacterial small subunit ribosomal RNA
Source: RNAcentral